RNAcentral lists this ribosomal RNA (1566 nucleotides) under Triticum aestivum (bread wheat). RNAcentral's name for it is "partial small subunit ribosomal RNA". Lineage: Eukaryota; Viridiplantae; Streptophyta; Magnoliopsida; Poales; Poaceae. The record is from RNAcentral.
AUGGGCCUGGAUAAGAAGAGCGUGGCCAUAGUUGGCGCCGGCGUGAGUGGGCUGGCGGCGUGCAAGCACCUGCUGGAGCGCGGCUGCCGGCCGGUAGUCUUCGAGGCGGGCGACGCCGUCGGCGGCGUGUGGCCGAACGCCAUGGAGGGGACCAGGCUCCAGGCGCCGCGGCACAUGUACCGGUACUCCGACUUCCCCUGGCCGGACUCGGUGACGGAGAUGUUCCCCAACCAGCGGCAGGUCGCCGACUACCUCCACGCCUACGCGCGCCGCUUCGGCGUGCUCGACUGCGUCAGGCUCGGCCACCGCGUGACCAGCAUGGACUACGUCGGCGUCGCAGAGGAGGAGGUGGUGGCGUGGGAGCAGUGGGCCGGCUGCGGCGAGGCGUUCGGUUCCGGCGACGGGGAGUGGCGCCUCACGGUGGCCGACGCCGAGGGGCACACAGAGGUACACAUGGUAGACUUUGUGAUUCUUUGUACGGGAAGGUUUAGCAAUUAUCCCAGCAUACCCAAAUUCCCUCCCGGUAGAGGCCCAGAAGCAUUUGAUGGGAAAGUGAUCCACUCCAUGGACUACUCCAAAAUGGGUAGCGAGAAAGCUAAGGAGAUGAUCAAGGACAAGUGUGUGACUGUUGUUGGCUAUGGAAAUUCAGCCCUUGACAUUGCUAAUGAAUGUGCAAAUAUAAAUGGUACGGAGAAACCAUGCACAAUGGUAGUCCGAACCAAGCAAUGGAUCAUACCGAACUUCUAUGCUUGGGGUAUUAACAUAUCAAAUUUUUAUCUAACUCGUUUUGCUGAACUCCUUAUUCACAAGCCCGGUGAAGGUUUCCUUCUUAGCAUAUUAGCUACCGUCUUGACUCCAUUGAGGUUGAUGAUUUCAAAGUUUGCUGAGAGCUACUACUCCAUUCCAAUGAAGAAGCAUGAGAUGGUGCCUGACCAUAGCUUUUUUGAGGGGAUGGUGGGAUGUAUGCUUUCCACUACACCCAAGGAUCAUUACAAGAAUUUAGAGGAAGGCAUCAUAGUUAUUAAAAAGUCAAAGACCUUUGGCUUUUGCAAAGAAGGCGUGCUUGUUGAAGGUGAAUCUACGUUGGUAAAGAGUGACAUAGUUAUAUUCGGAACAGGAUUCAAUGGUGAUGAAAACAUCAAGGACAUGUUCAUAUCAAAGUACUUUCAUACUAUUGUCGUUGGCUCAACAUCCACGACAACACCACUUUAUAGGGAGUGCAUACAUCCUAAGAUUCCACAACUUGCGGUCAUCGGAUAUUCUGACAACUAUGCGAAUGUCUACACAUCGGAACUGCGGUCUAAGUGGCUAGCAUAUUUCAUGGAUGGUGGAUUUAGAUUACCAACUGUUAAAGCAAUGCAGAGGGAUGUCCUUGAAUGUGAAAAGGUCAUGAAGCGUUACUCUCGUGAAGAAUCCCGUACACCGUGCAUUGGACUUCUUCCUACUUGGUACAAUGAUAGAUUAUGUGAAGACAUGGGAUGCAACCCAAGAAGGAAGAAUGGAUUUUUUGCCGAAUUAUUUGAGUCCUACGGUCCCGAUGAUUAUAAUGAUCUUCACCCUAAGUAA